Arachis stenosperma is the source of this 94-nucleotide small nucleolar RNA. RefSeq annotates it as small nucleolar RNA Z103. The transcript has a single exon. The record is from RefSeq and is a predicted model, not a curated record. Lineage: Eukaryota; Viridiplantae; Streptophyta; Magnoliopsida; Fabales; Fabaceae.
AUGGAAGUGAUGAUUAUUUCCCCAGAUGAUCGACGCUGAUAUUACUGUGCGAUUUUUUCUCGUUAGAGAAACCAAGCCAAUUAAUCUGAUCCAU